Molecule: transfer RNA, 76 nt
Filed under: Alphaproteobacteria bacterium MarineAlpha5_Bin6
Lineage: Bacteria; Pseudomonadati; Pseudomonadota; Alphaproteobacteria
Also listed under: 2 other names
Description: tRNA-Lys
Rfam family: tRNA
About the family: Transfer RNA (tRNA) molecules are approximately 80 nucleotides in length. Their secondary structure includes four short double-helical elements and three loops (D, anti-codon, and T loops).
Source: RNAcentral
GGGCGCAUAGCUCAGUUGGUAGAGCAAUUCCCUUUUAAGGAAUGGGUCGCAGGUUCGAAUCCUGCUGCGCUCACCA